Molecule: long non-coding RNA, 614 nt
Organism: Chinchilla lanigera (long-tailed chinchilla)
Lineage: Eukaryota; Metazoa; Chordata; Mammalia; Rodentia; Chinchillidae
Exons: 3
Source: RefSeq, a predicted model, not a curated record
CCCGGGAUACUAGACAUUCGAGUUCCUGGACCCAGAGAUGACACUCUUUCCUCCAGCAGUCCCAACAGUCAGAGGGGCUGAUUCUUUGCUUUGUGAGGCAAUUACUCUGGAGACAGCAUAAUGAAUGCGCAAGUCCCCAGGGACUUGCGGGGGUGGGGUCAGUCGGCCAGUAGGAGUAAGGGAGGGUCAACUAGGCUGCCUGGAGGGAGGAGGCUUAGAAAAAGAGUCCAAAUUGUCCAGACAAACUGGGUGGUGUUAGGAAUCCUUUCAGCACAGGAACAGAUUCUGAGGGAACUAGGUAGGACUUGAAGCCGUCAGGGGUGGCAGUGGAGCCAGAGGCCCCACCUGCGGGAGAAACGAGAAGAUCCUGUCUCAGGAACAGGACUGUGGAGUGCUCCAGAUUCUCAAGGAGACGCUGCGCAGGCUGCUGUAUCUGGCCCAAGAACCAGGUAUUAGCCGCAGCAGGACUGGGCCAGGAGGAAAGCCCCCAUGUGACCUCUGGACUGUCCCCUGGAGGCACCUGUCAUGACUCAGCCUCCCCAGCAACCACAGCAACAGCCACUGAGAUAAGUACCUGUACUGUCCAGUUUUUCAUUCUUCUUUUUUUUUCUGGU